This 331-nucleotide ribosomal RNA is filed under the name uncultured eukaryote. Its description in RNAcentral is "partial 18S ribosomal RNA". It matches the Rfam family "Eukaryotic small subunit ribosomal RNA", at positions 1470 to 1796 of the family's 1831-position model. The record is from RNAcentral.
CCCUUAGAUGUCCUGGGCCGCACGCGCGUUACACUGAUGCAUUCAACGAGCUUAUAACCUUGGCCGAGAGGCCUGGGCAAUCUUGUUAACGUGCAUCGUGAUAGGGAUAGAUUAUUGAAAUUAUUAAUCUUGAACGAGGAAUUCCUAGUAAACGCAGAUCAUCAAUCUGCAUUGAUUACGUCCCUGCCCUUUGUACACACCGCCCGUCGCUCCUACCGAUUGAAUGGUCCGGUGAAGUGUUCGGAUCGCGCCGACGUGGGCGGUUCGCCGCCGGCGACGUCGCGAGAAGUCCACUGAACCUUAUCAUUUAGAGGAAGGAGAAGUCGUAACA